CUCCCUGUGGCUCAGUUGGUAGAGCAUGGUGUUUGCAAUGCCAGGGUUGUGGGUUCAAUUCCCACAGGGGGCA
RNAcentral lists this transfer RNA (73 nucleotides) under Salmo salar (Atlantic salmon). It matches the Rfam family "tRNA". From Rfam's summary of the family: Transfer RNA (tRNA) molecules are approximately 80 nucleotides in length. Their secondary structure includes four short double-helical elements and three loops (D, anti-codon, and T loops). Further hydrogen bonds mediate the characteristic L-shaped molecular structure. tRNAs have two regions of fundamental functional importance: the anti-codon, which is responsible for specific mRNA codon recognition, and the 3' end, to which the tRNAs corresponding amino acid is attached (by aminoacyl-tRNA synthetases). tRNAs cope with the degeneracy of the genetic code in two manners: having more than one tRNA (with a specific anti-codon) for a particular amino acid; and 'wobble' base-pairing, i.e. permitting non-standard base-pairing at the 3rd anti-codon position. The record is from Rfam by way of RNAcentral. Lineage: Eukaryota; Metazoa; Chordata; Actinopteri; Salmoniformes; Salmonidae.